RNAcentral lists this ribosomal RNA (445 nucleotides) under Magdalis ruficornis. RNAcentral describes it as "SSU rRNA". It matches the Rfam family "Eukaryotic small subunit ribosomal RNA", at positions 91 to 513 of the family's 1831-position model. Lineage: Eukaryota; Metazoa; Arthropoda; Insecta; Coleoptera; Curculionidae. The record is from RNAcentral.
GAAAGGCUCAUUAAAUCAGUUAUGGUUCCUUAGAUCGUACCCACAAUUACUUGGAUAACUGUGGUAAUUCUAGAGCUAAUACAUGCAAAUAGAGCUCCGACCGGAGACGGAAGGAGUGCUUUUAUUAGAUCAAAACCAAUCGGUGGCGGGUUCGCGCUCGUCAUCGUACAACUUGGUGACUCUGAAUAACUUUAAGCUGAUCGCACGGUCUUAGCACCGGCGACGCAUCUUUCAAAUGUCUGCCUUAUCAACUGUCGAUGGUAGGUUCUGCGCCUACCAUGGUCGUAACGGGUAACGGGGAAUCAGGGUUCGAUUCCGGAGAGGGAGCCUGAGAAACGGCUACCACAUCCAAGGAAGGCAGCAGGCGCGCAAAUUACCCACUCCCGGCACGGGGAGGUAGUGACRAAAAAUAACGAUACGGGACUCAUCCGAGGCCCCGUAAUCG